Molecule: long non-coding RNA, 529 nt
Organism: Oncorhynchus tshawytscha (Chinook salmon)
Lineage: Eukaryota; Metazoa; Chordata; Actinopteri; Salmoniformes; Salmonidae
Source: Ensembl
AGGGUCAGGUCUAGGGUCAGGUCUAGGUCAGGUCUAGGGUCAGUGUCAGGUCUAGGGUCAGGUCUAGGGUCAGGUCUAGGGUCAGGUCUAGGGCCAGGUCUAGGGCCAGUGUCAGGUCUAGGGUCAGUGUCAGGUCUAGGGUCAGUGUCAGGUCUAGGGUCAGGUCUAGGGUCAGGUCUAGGGUCAGUGUCAGGUCUAGUGUCAGGUCUAGGGUCAGGUCUAGGGUCAGGUCUAGGGUCAGUGUCAGGUCUAGGGCCAGGUCUAGGGUCAGUGUCAGGUCUAGGGCCAGUGUCAGGUCUAGGGCCAGUGUCAGGUCUAGGGUCAGGUCUAGGGCCAGUGUCAGGUCUAGGGCCAGUGUCAGGUCUAGGGCCAGUGUCAGGUCUAGGGUCAGUGUCAGGUCUAGGGUCAGGUCUAGGGUCAGUGUCAGGUCUAGGGCCAGGUCUAGGGUCAGUGUCAGGUCUAGGGCCAGUGUCAGGUCUAGGGUCAGUGUCAGGUCUAGGGUCAGGUCUAGGGUCAGGUCUAGGGUCAG